RNAcentral lists this ribosomal RNA (403 nucleotides) under uncultured Petrimonas sp. Its description in RNAcentral is "bacterial SSU rRNA". It matches the Rfam family "Bacterial small subunit ribosomal RNA", at positions 374 to 774 of the family's 1533-position model. The record is from RNAcentral. Lineage: Bacteria; Pseudomonadati; Bacteroidota; Bacteroidia; Bacteroidales; Dysgonomonadaceae.
GAGGCAACUCUGAACCAGCCAAGUCGCGUGAAGGAUGAAGGUCUUAUGGAUUGUAAACUUCUUUUGCAAGGGAAUAAAGUGGGGGACGUGUCCUCCUUUGCAUGUACCUUGCGAAUAAGGAUCGGCUAACUCCGUGCCAGCAGCCGCGGUAAUACGGAGGAUCCGAGCGUUAUCCGGAUUUAUUGGGUUUAAAGGGCGCGUAGGCGGAUCGUUAAGUCAGAGGUGAAAUCCCAGGGCUCAACCCUGGAACUGCCUUUGAUACUGGCGAUCUUGAGUAUGAGAGAGGUAUGUGGAACUCCGAGUGUAGAGGUGAAAUUCGUAGAUAUUCGGAAGAACACCAGUGGCGAAGGCGACAUACUGGCUCAUUACUGACGCUGAGGCGCGAAAGCGUGGGGAGCAAACA